RNAcentral lists this transfer RNA (68 nucleotides) under Ictidomys tridecemlineatus (thirteen-lined ground squirrel). RNAcentral describes it as "Spermophilus tridecemlineatus (thirteen-lined ground squirrel) tRNA". It matches the Rfam family "tRNA". From Rfam's summary of the family: Transfer RNA (tRNA) molecules are approximately 80 nucleotides in length. Their secondary structure includes four short double-helical elements and three loops (D, anti-codon, and T loops). The record is from Rfam by way of RNAcentral. Lineage: Eukaryota; Metazoa; Chordata; Mammalia; Rodentia; Sciuridae.
GUAGUGGCUCAGUGGUAGAGCACUUGCCUGGCAUGUUUGAGGUCCUGGGUUAGAUCCUCAGCACUAUA